This 424-nucleotide ribosomal RNA is filed under the name Verrucomicrobiota bacterium. Its description in RNAcentral is "Verrucomicrobia bacterium partial 16S ribosomal RNA". It matches the Rfam family "Bacterial small subunit ribosomal RNA", at positions 355 to 776 of the family's 1533-position model. Lineage: Bacteria; Pseudomonadati; Verrucomicrobiota. The record is from RNAcentral.
UGAGGAAUAUUGGUCAAUGGACGCAAGUCUGAACCAGCCACGUAGCGUGCAGGAUGACGGCACUAUGGGUUGUAAACUGUUUUUAUUUGGGGAUAAAGUGGGGAACGUGUUCCCUUUUGCAGGUACCAUAUGAAUAAGGACCGGCUAAUUUCGUGCCAGCAGCCGCGGUAAUACGGAAGGUUUGGGCGUUAUCCGGAUUUAUUGGGUUUAAAGGGAGCGUAGGCCGUUUGGUAAGCGUGUUGUGAAAUGUAGGAGCUCAACUUCUAGAUUGCAGCGCGAACUGUCAGACUUGAGUGCGCACAACGUAGGCGGAAUUCAUGGUGUAGCGGUGAAAUGCUUAGAUAUCAUGAAGAACUCCGAUUGCGAAGGCAGCUUACGGGAGCGCAACUGACGCUGAAGCUCGAAGGUGCGGGUAUCGAACAGG